UUGCACGCUGGCGGCCGGCCUCACCCCUGCCAGUCGCGCGGUAACAGGAAACAGCUUGCUGUUUCGCUGACGAGUGGCGGACGGGUGAGUAAUGUCUGGGAAACUGCCUGAUGGAGGGGGAUAACUACUGGAAACGGUAGCUAAUACCGCAUAACGUCGCAAGACCAAAGAGGGGGACCCUCGGGCCUCUUGCCAUCGGAUGUGCCCAGAUGGGAUUAGCUUGUUGGUGGGGUAACGGCUCACCAAGGCGACGAUCCCUAGCUGGUCUGAGAGGAUGACCAGCCACACUGGAACUGAGACACGGUCCAGACUCCUACGGGAGGCAGCAGUGGGGAAUAUUGCACAAUGGGCGCAAGCCUGAUGCAGCCAUGCCGCGUGUAUGAAGAAGGCCUUCGGGUUGUAAAGUACUUUCAGCGGGGAGGAAGGGAGUAAAGUUAAUACCUUGGCUCAUUGACGUUACCCGCAGAAGAAGCACCGGCUAACUCCGUG
Molecule: ribosomal RNA, 489 nt
Filed under: uncultured bacterium
Lineage: Bacteria
Description: partial 16S ribosomal RNA
Rfam family: Bacterial small subunit ribosomal RNA
Source: RNAcentral